This 219-nucleotide long non-coding RNA is filed under the name Capsicum annuum. RNAcentral describes it as "long non-coding RNA (CANN_LNC019810)". The record is from RNAcentral. Lineage: Eukaryota; Viridiplantae; Streptophyta; Magnoliopsida; Solanales; Solanaceae.
GAACUUGCAUAGGAUAGUCGAAGUCAACGGGGGCAAAACCAUGCAUUGGACUUGAUUCUGCUGAGUUCUCCCGUGAAGGCAUAAUUUCUUCAAGUUUCAGCUCGUCGCUCGGCUCAGGUUCCAUUCCUUGGUUUCUUAUUUCCGCUCUAAUCCAAUCUCUGAGGCAACUAGAACAUUCAAUGCAUUGCUUCCCAAUGAGUGUCGGUUGUCUCCAAGCUG